CCUACGGGAGGCAGCAGUGGGGAAUCUUGCGCAAUGGGCGAAAGCCUGACGCAGCGACGCCGCGUGGAGGAAGAAGGCCCUCGGGUUGUAAACUCCUUUCGUGAGGGAAAAAGCCCUGCGUUUAUCGAAGGGUGAUGGUACCUCAGGAAGAAGCCACGGCUAACUCUGUGCCAGCAGCCGCGGUAAGACAGAGGUGGCAAGCGUUGUUCGGAUUUACUGGGCUUAAAGGGCGUGUAGGCGUUCUGAUAAGUGAGAGGUGAAAUCCCCGAGCUUAACUGGGGAAUUGCAUCUAAAACGGUCAGGAUUGAGUCAUACAUGGGAGGGCGGAAUUCCUGGUGUAGGGGUGAAAGGCGUAGAUAUCGGGAGGAAGGCCGGUGGCGAAGGCGGCCCUCGGGGAAAUGACUGACGCUGAGGCGCGAAAGCGUGGGGAGCAAACAGGAUUAGAUACCCUGGUAGU
This 457-nucleotide ribosomal RNA is filed under the name uncultured Nitrospirales bacterium. RNAcentral describes it as "partial 16S ribosomal RNA". It matches the Rfam family "Bacterial small subunit ribosomal RNA", at positions 338 to 794 of the family's 1533-position model. Lineage: Bacteria; Pseudomonadati; Nitrospirota; Nitrospiria; Nitrospirales. The record is from RNAcentral.